CUUUUUUUUCCAGUGACUUAGAACAGAUGGCCAGCCCCACACAAAACUUUUCUGAGUUUGAUUCAGCCCUACAGUACAAAUUAGAGAGUUUUCCAUGCAAGUUUUCAUCUGUCCCAGGCCAUCAACUGAUACAGAAGUCUCUAAUAAAGUUGAGUCCUAAGUCACUACUUGGAAGGUGGUGA
Molecule: long non-coding RNA, 182 nt
Filed under: Cyanistes caeruleus (blue tit)
Lineage: Eukaryota; Metazoa; Chordata; Aves; Passeriformes; Paridae
Description: lncRNA (ENSCCEG00000011259.1)
Source: RNAcentral